GCCUCGGUAGUCUAAAGGCUUAGGACGCUUGCACGGAAUGUCAGAGAUCCGGGUUCGAUUCCCGGCUGAGAUA
RNAcentral lists this transfer RNA (73 nucleotides) under Cyphomyrmex costatus. It matches the Rfam family "tRNA". Rfam says of the family: Transfer RNA (tRNA) molecules are approximately 80 nucleotides in length. Their secondary structure includes four short double-helical elements and three loops (D, anti-codon, and T loops). Further hydrogen bonds mediate the characteristic L-shaped molecular structure. tRNAs have two regions of fundamental functional importance: the anti-codon, which is responsible for specific mRNA codon recognition, and the 3' end, to which the tRNAs corresponding amino acid is attached (by aminoacyl-tRNA synthetases). tRNAs cope with the degeneracy of the genetic code in two manners: having more than one tRNA (with a specific anti-codon) for a particular amino acid; and 'wobble' base-pairing, i.e. permitting non-standard base-pairing at the 3rd anti-codon position. Lineage: Eukaryota; Metazoa; Arthropoda; Insecta; Hymenoptera; Formicidae. The record is from Rfam by way of RNAcentral.